GUGCUCGUACUUCUUCACGAUCCCCUCACACUUGUCAAAGCUCACCACCUCAACCUCAGAGGGAUCUGCCAAGCAACUGCAUACUUCACCAAGGUUAAAUUUGCCUGGAAAUUUUAUGAAAAGGCAUCCAUUUGGUAGUAUCUGCGAAAUACGGCCUGUAGCCAGUCCUCCACCUCUCUUUCGCUGCCAUUCAAACUGUGGGCUUGAAAUAUUGGCUUUCAGCCGCACAAACUGCCCAACACAGUAGGCUUCAGCCAUUUGAAGGUCAGAGUAUUCACCCUUCCAGAGGGUGUCCACUCCAAUCAGACCUACAUAAACAGUACCACUACGGUCAAUGCUAUGAAGAAUUCCAACCUGAGAUCGCUUCUUCUCAUCCUCCCUAAGCCGUACCCAGUCUCCAGCAGCGAAACCAUAGGUUACCCUUUCCACUGUUGAAGAGCGAACCUUCAAAGGAUCAUGUAAACCAUGGAUCCUUACAAGAAUGUAGCCAUCACGCUCUCCAUUAUCCUCCAUUCCAACUAUGGUUCCAUCAGGGACUUCCAUGGUUGUUGGACUACAAGUGUUUUUAAGCUUUCUCGAGCGAACCUUGUCUCCCACUUGCAACUUGUCCUUGAAGAAUGACCAGUUAGUGCGGCUUGGCAGGGCUGGACUGACCAUCCUUAGAUUUUCAGAAUUUCCCUGGUCAGUAUUUUCGUAAUCUACAUCUUUUGCACUCUCAAAUGCAUCUAAAAUAUCAGUCAUCUGGGGGCGGUCUCUAAAGUCAUAUUCAAAGCAUCCAGAAAGGACAUUCUCUAUUGCUGGAGGCAAAUUGUAUGG
RNAcentral lists this small RNA (816 nucleotides) under Oryza sativa Japonica Group (Japanese rice). Its description in RNAcentral is "sRNA Os06g0639550". Lineage: Eukaryota; Viridiplantae; Streptophyta; Magnoliopsida; Poales; Poaceae. The record is from RNAcentral.